AGCGCAGGUGGUUGUAUAAGUCUGAAGUAAAAGGCAGUGGCUCAACCAUUGUGUGCUUUGGAAACUGUACAACUUGAGUGCAGAAGGGGAGAGUGGAAUUCCAUGUGUAGCAGUGAAAUGCGUAGAUAUAUGGAGGAACACCGGUGGCGAAAGCGGCUCUCUGGUCUGUAACUGACACUGAGGCUCGAAAGGCGUGGGAGCAAACA
RNAcentral lists this ribosomal RNA (206 nucleotides) under uncultured bacterium. RNAcentral describes it as "partial 16S ribosomal RNA". It matches the Rfam family "Bacterial small subunit ribosomal RNA", at positions 568 to 774 of the family's 1533-position model. The record is from RNAcentral.